This 763-nucleotide long non-coding RNA is filed under the name Homo sapiens (human). Its description in RNAcentral is "HSALNT0299262". The record is from RNAcentral. Lineage: Eukaryota; Metazoa; Chordata; Mammalia; Primates; Hominidae.
UGUGCACCACCCUCUCACCCAAACGAAGGCAGCUGGCCCUGAAGUUCUCUGAGCUUGAGGACAAAAAAAGACCUCUGUGAGUUGUCAGGCUCUGUUACAGUCUGGGUCAGCAGACAAGAGUCCCAGGGCUCGGCCGUCUUCUCUAGGAGAGAAAAUAUUCGUGCCAUAUAGCGUGUUCUAAGAGUUCUCACCAGAAGCCCAGAAAGUUCUGUAUUUACUCAGCAUUCAAGGGAAAACAGACCCUGUAUUUUUGGGAUUCCUGAAAGGUGACCAGAGGAAUAUCCACAGAAGCAGAAGUAGGAAUGGGGAAGGAGGGGACAAGUUUAGACCAAGCUCUUCUGUGACCUCACUUCUGCUUUUGAAGUCCCACAGCUCUAUAAGGCCAGGGUCAAAGGAACCUAAUGUGAAAAUGUUUCAGUCUUUUGAUGAAGUAUUCCAGAACACAGAACUCCUUAUCAUACAGAACAUCAAGUUCCUUUAAGAUAUGGGUUGCUAUCUCCAAUUCAUUUUGGGAAGAGGCUACCUUCAUCCCCAAACAGGAACUGCUGCAAGGCCCGCAGCAGCCAUGGGUGAGUGGCUCUGGAGAUGGGGUAAGUGGCCUACGCACCCCAGAGGAACAGCUGGCAGCCUAGUCUUCGGGCAGCAGCUCCACUCAGCCCUGGGGAAUGACAGAUACAGUGUUCUGAGAUCUUGUUACUGGUGGCGAAUCCAUACAGGUCUGCAGCAACCUCAAUUCUUGCCUCUUCAGAACACAGAAUUCAAC